Molecule: long non-coding RNA, 1572 nt
Organism: Anas platyrhynchos (mallard)
Lineage: Eukaryota; Metazoa; Chordata; Aves; Anseriformes; Anatidae
Source: RefSeq, a predicted model, not a curated record
GGCCUCCUGCUGCCAUCAGAUUUUUCAGCUGUGGCAACAAACCCAAAAGGACGCCUGGGGCUUGUAGGCUGAAUGUCUGCCUAUAAAAGCACGCCUGCAAGAAGAGCAGGGUGGUGGGCUGUGCUGCUCAGGACAGCAUGUGGCCAUGGGGUUUUGUGUUUUGGAGCAAGUCAUCUCUGGGGUGCAGCUUGGAGCCCCAGCCUUGGGGACAUGCUGUGGCACUGUCCCCACCUGCAGGGACAUGGGCUUGGAGCCCACCAGAGAUGUACCCCAACCAGAGCUGCAUCGCCUGCACUGCAAUUCAAGUUUGCCCCUCCCACCCCCGUGGCCAUAGCAAGCACCACGUACUGACAGCCGAAACACAGUGUGAAGCUCCUGAAGCUGUGCCUGCUGUCAGACAGCCCUUGGACUCAGAGGGGAGGGGAAGGAUCACCUCCCUCGGCCUGCUGGUGAUACGUUGCCUCAUGCAGCCAAAACUACCGUCAGCCUCCUUGGUGUUGAGGGCACGUUGCUGAUUCAUGUUCAGCUUGGUGUCCACCAGGACUCCUCGGUCCUUUUCUGCAACUUUUCUCCUCUCCAUGCUGUUUGGAAAACCUCUGGAAUGGCUACAAUGAGCACAGAAAGCAAGCACCAGCAAAAGCCACUUGUAGCCAACACUUGUUUUCACGAAACAUUAAAGUUUCCAUCCUAAUUUGCCCAACCUGGACUGAAUGACAGUGACAAAAUCUGUAAUGAUUUUUUUUUCUCCUGCUGACAACUGGCUGGGAAUAACACAGGCAGCAGUCCUCAGCACCGUGGUGUGUUGGGAGCUGGAGCACAACCAAGCAUCAUCAGCGGGAUGGGAGACAAUUUAUGUGCCAGGCUACUAAUGGACCUAAAUAUGACAACAGAAAUUACUUUCUAACCUGCCGGAGAGUUUAGAAACUGAAGAAUCUGCUUGGCCUCUCAGUCUGGGGGAGUCAUGCUACCCUUGCCCCCCCCCCAGUCAUCAUCAGUGAAGAUUCAGAAGAAAAUGUUAAAAAUUACUGAAUCACCAGCAAUUUGGCUGAGGCAGCUGGGAGUCAGGCUGUGGCACUGGCAGCCCAGCUCCCUCAUUUGUUGCCAUCUCUGCCAAGUCUCACCGUGCAGCGCUGGACAAUUGACCUCCAUUUUCUCCUGAAGGUGGAUAAAAGCAAUUUCUUCCUAAAUAAAGCCUCAUUUGAACAAAAAGUCAUAUUAUCAUUACAGCAGAAGGCUUCACAUUGCAGUGGUGGUGGGGAGUGAAGGUCGUACCUGGGUCCUGCAGGUAAUGACAUCUUGCUCAAAAGGCACAUUGUUUUUUCUCACUCAUUCUUUCCUUCACUAUCAUAAUUAUCCAGUUCCUCAGAAAAGGAGCCUCAGAUAUUCAGCCUUUCUCUGUGUUUUGACAACCAUCUGAAACAGUACAUGCAGAGGGGUUAGGGGAUGUUAUGAAAGGCUGGUGUCAUCGAGGAAUGCUGGUAACUGGCACUUCUUGAAUUCAGGCAGUGAAGAAGCCCCUGACUCACUUGGGACAUUGCCUGCAGGCUGGUCACGUCACUGCUGAAUUUUGUA